This 391-nucleotide long non-coding RNA is filed under the name Selaginella moellendorffii. Its description in RNAcentral is "long non-coding RNA (SMOE_LNC001222)". The record is from RNAcentral. Lineage: Eukaryota; Viridiplantae; Streptophyta; Lycopodiopsida; Selaginellales; Selaginellaceae.
UGGUUUUGUUCUUGCUGGAUCCUAGCUCGAAACAAAAUUGUCUACUUGUCUAGAGCACUCAUGAUGAGGAUCCUGGCAGCAAACGAAGAAAAGAGGGUGAUUUUGAGAUUGAAACUCUUAUUUCAAUGAGACUUACCAGUUGCUAGUGGAGUGUUGCUGGGGCAAUGGAUGCUGUGAUUCAGCUGUGGGUUGCGACAGCCUCUCUGCGAUCUCCCUCACAACUGCAUCGGAAACAUAUAAAACCACGAGACAAUUUCAUCUCUCUUCUUACUUGUUCUCAGUGACUUCUUUGUCAAUGUAGGUGAUGGAGCUGCUGGCGUUUGAGAUCCAAUUAGCUUCUCAGAUGGACUCAUGCUGGGAUCCAAGAACGAUCUAUCGAAGACUCAACUUU